GCAUGCUAAGGCUUUACUGAGGAGAGGGGUUGAGUUCCAGGAAAGUAAGAGUGAGGAGAAAAGGGAGUUCUCAGCAUCAAAGUGAGCAAGUCAUCAGGAGCUCCUCAUGUGGUGAGUUCUCCUGGAUGCAGAUUCUGCAAGAGGAUGGACCACCUUCAGGGAGCUGACUGUCCCAAACCCAAAGCAAUGAAGCCCAGGAGCCGCCAGCUCUUUGCAGAGGAGGGUUCCUGACACCUUGGAAAUGAAGAAGGAGAAACAUCUGGCAGCAAAUGGCUGAACAAAAUGCCACUGGACUGGAAAGGAGAUCCUCAGACUCAUGGUUGUGUCACCCCAGUGCCCAGCAUGCGGCCUGCACGUGAUUGGUCCUCGGUUCUGUAGUUGAUUGAGGCCAGGUUGUUAUUGGACGUAUCUGAGAUAUUUUACUCAGUGCCUUUUUUGUUAUUGUUUUAAUUAUGAAAGUCCUAAAUGCUCUGACAACAAAUUCAGACGGACAGAGGGGUAAAGCAAAAACCGUCCCCAUCCAUCCCUGCUCUUUUUUUUUUGAGGAAGAUUAGCCCUGAGCUAACAUCUGCUGCCAAUCCUCCUCUUUUUGCUGAGGAAGACUGGCCCUGAGCUCAGAUCCAUGCCCAUCUUCCUCUACUUUAUAUGUGGGAUGCCUACCACAGCAUGGCUUGCCAAGCGGUGCUGUAUCUGCACCCGGGAUCGAACUGGCAAACCCUAGGCUGCUAAAGCGGAACGUGUGAACUUAACCACUGCACCACCAGGCUGGCCCCCAUCCUUGCUCUUACUAACCAGGGUCAGUAACUCCCUAUAACUCAAUAAUUUCUUGUAAUUCCAUCUAGAAAUUUCUUAGCAAAUGUAAGCAUAAUAGACACACACACAGAGUUGGUCAUACUACACAU
RNAcentral lists this long non-coding RNA (902 nucleotides) under Equus caballus (horse). RNAcentral describes it as "lncRNA (ENSECAG00000043916.1)". The record is from RNAcentral. Lineage: Eukaryota; Metazoa; Chordata; Mammalia; Perissodactyla; Equidae.